RNAcentral lists this ribosomal RNA (463 nucleotides) under uncultured bacterium. Its description in RNAcentral is "bacterial SSU rRNA". It matches the Rfam family "Bacterial small subunit ribosomal RNA", at positions 328 to 803 of the family's 1533-position model. The record is from RNAcentral.
CUACGGAACUCCUACGGGAGGCAGCAGUGGGGAGUAUUGCACAAUGGGCGCAAGCCUGAUGCAGCGACGCCGCGUGAGGGAUGACGGCCUUCGGGUUGUAAACCUCUUUCACCCAUGACGAAGCGCAAGUGACGGUAGUGGGAGAAGAAGCACCGGCCAACUACGUGCCAGCAGCCGCGGUAAUACGUAGGGUGCGAGCGUUGUCCGGAAUUACUGGGCGUAAAGAGCUCGUAGGCGGUUUGUCGCGUCGUCUGUGAAAUCCCGCAGCUCAACUGCGGGCUUGCAGGCGAUACGGGCAGACUCGAGUACUGCAGGGGAGACUGGAAUUCCUGGUGUAGCGGUGAAAUGCGCAGAUAUCAGGAGGAACACCGGUGGCGAAGGCGGGUCUCUGGGCAGUAACUGACGCUGAGGAGCGAAAGCGUGGGUAGCGAACAGGAUUAGAUACCCCGGUAGUCCUCUUCGA